ACCUCCUUCUCCCUCCUCUGUGUGUCAAUAUUUAUAGAGUAAAAGUSRUWACAAGGUUUYCGUAGGUGAMCUGCGGAAGGAUCAUUAUUGAAACUUCUUUGGAAAUAGCACUGUUGCUGGCCUUGUAAUGAGGUAUGUGCACGUCUAUUACCAAUUUAUUCAUCCACCUGUGCACUUUUUGUAGGAGUUUUUUUGAAGCUAUUUUGUACUUGUGCAAUUUGGCUUUGAAAGGCUUCUAUGUCUUAUAAACCCAUUAGUAUGUCUCUGAAUGUUUUUUAUUGGGACUUGAUUGGCCCUUUAAACUUGUACAACUUUUAGCAACGGAUCUCUUGGCUCUCCCAUCGAUGAAGAACGCAGCGAAAUGCGAUAAGUAAUGUGAAUUGCAGAAUUCAGUGAAUCAUCGAAUCUUUGAACGCACCUUGCGCCCUCUGGUAUUCCGGAGGGCAUGCCUGUUUGAGUGUCAUUAAAUUCUCAACUUCAAUAGCUUUUACUAGCUUAUUGAUGAUUGGAUGUGGGAGCUUGCUGGCGUCUUAGAUGUUCGGCUCUCCUUAAAGUUAUUAGUGGAAACCUCUUUGUUAGGUUAUUCCUUGGUGUGAUAAUUAUCUACGCUUUGGAAAAUCUAAUGUUCCAUUGAGACUUGAGAUUUUCUCAGUAGAAAUACUGGUCUGGGUACUGCAAUUAGUUUUGCUGUAUCUGUGUAAUCUCUCAGUAGCAAUACUGGUUUGGGCAUUGCAUUUUGCUUUACCUGGAGUCUCAGAGGAAAAAGGGAAGCUCUGCUCUCUAACUGUCUAUUGUUAUAUGGACAAUUUAUUUGACUAUUUGACCUCAAAUCAGGUAGGACUACCCGCUGAACUUAAGCAUAUCAAUAAGCGGAGGAAAAGAAACUAACAAGGAUUCCCCUAGUAACUGCGAGUGAAGAGGGAAAAGCUCAAAUUUAAAAUCUGGCAGUCUUUGAUUGUCCGAGUUGUAAUUUAGAGAAAKGUYACCCGAGUUGGAUCUGUCCACAAAAAACUGCUCUCGAGA
RNAcentral lists this ribosomal RNA (1023 nucleotides) under Gymnopus dryophilus. RNAcentral describes it as "eukaryotic LSU rRNA". The record is from RNAcentral. Lineage: Eukaryota; Fungi; Basidiomycota; Agaricomycetes; Agaricales; Omphalotaceae.